AGUGAACGCUGGCGGUAGGCCUAACACAUGCAAGUCGAACGGCGGCACAGUAAGAGCUUGCUCUUACGGGUGGCGAGUGGCGGACGGGUGAGGAAUACAUCGGAAUCUACUUUUUCGUGGGGGAUAACGUAGGGAAACUUACGCUAAUACCGCAUACGACCUACGGGUGAAAGCAGGGGAUCUUCGGACCUUGCGCGAUUGAAUGAGCCGAUGUCGGAUUAGCUAGUUGGCGGGGUAAAGGCCCACCAAGGCGACGAUCCGUAGCUGGUCUGAGAGGAUGAGCAGCCACACUGGAACUGAGACACGGUCCAGACUCCUACGGGAGGCAGCAGUGGGGAAUAUUGGACAAUGGGCGCAAGCCUGAUCCAGCCAUACCGCGUGGGUGAAGAAGGCCUUCGGGUUGUAAAGCCCUUUUGUUGGGAAAGAAAAGCAGCAGGUUAAUACCCCGCUGUUCUGACGGUACCCAAAGAAUAAGCACCGGCUAACUUCGUG
This 492-nucleotide ribosomal RNA is filed under the name uncultured bacterium. Its description in RNAcentral is "partial 16S ribosomal RNA". It matches the Rfam family "Bacterial small subunit ribosomal RNA", at positions 29 to 507 of the family's 1533-position model. The record is from RNAcentral.